This 347-nucleotide unclassified non-coding RNA is filed under the name Hevea brasiliensis (rubber tree). The record is from RNAcentral. Lineage: Eukaryota; Viridiplantae; Streptophyta; Magnoliopsida; Malpighiales; Euphorbiaceae.
AGCAGAUAAUGGACUUAAGAACCUGGCAGAGUAUAAAGAGCAUAAAUUUUUUAACAUUAGCUUAAGCAGAUUCUUCAAUAUUACAAAACCAAGACUGAAAUGUCUAACUGUAGAGAUUUUACUGUUCUCGGACCAAUAUCUACUAAUGGCAUAAUAAGUUUUGUAUGACAUGAAAAGGAGAAUUGGAAUUCACAUUCGAAGUAAAGACAAAAAACUAUAUAAGAGAUGAGACCCUGAAUGAGCAUAUACAAUUUCUUUGUGCAGCAGAACUGAACAACAUAGAAGUGAUGGAAAUCAGGUUGGUAGUCAAGUCCAUGAAACAAAUGCAAAAUUCAAGAAUUGAUCAA